UGGUAGUGUAUUGGACUACCAUGGCUAUAACGGGUAACGGAGAAUUAGGGUUCGAUUCCGGAGAAGGAGCCUGAGAAACGGCUACUAUGUCUACGGAAAGCAGCAGGCGCGUAAAUUACCCAAUCGUAAAUCACGGAGGUAGUUAAGAGAUAUAUUUAUUUUAAUUAAUUAAAAGAAAAUUAUUCGAAGGUAAAAAUAUCGAAAAAUAUCAUUGGAGGGCAAGUCUGGUGCCAGCAGCCGCGGUAAUUCCAGCUCCAAUAGCGUAUCCUAAUAUUGUUGCAGUUAAAAAGCUCGUAGUUGAAUAUAAAAACAAUUUUGAUUGUUGAUAUCCUUUGGAUGUUUACCAUGAAUAAAUCAGAGCGCUUCAGGCAGGCUUCAGCUUGAAUGCAUCAGCAUGGAAUAAUAUAUCAUUAAUGAUUUUGGUGUAUCAUAAUGAGUGAUUAACAGGAACAGUUGGGGGCAUUCGUAUUUAAUAGCAAGAGGUAAAAUUCUUUGAUUUAUUAAAGACGAACUAAAGCGAAAGCAUUUGUCAAGGAUGUUUUCAUUAAUCAAGAACGAAAGUUAAGGGAUCAAAGACGAUUAGAUACCGUCGUAGUCUUAACUAUAAACUAUGCCGACUAGAAAUUGGUUAUAUCAUUCUAGAGAUUACAUUG
RNAcentral lists this ribosomal RNA (653 nucleotides) under Rhynchodia sp. MPX. Its description in RNAcentral is "SSU rRNA". It matches the Rfam family "Eukaryotic small subunit ribosomal RNA", at positions 326 to 1082 of the family's 1831-position model. Lineage: Eukaryota; Ciliophora; Phyllopharyngea. The record is from RNAcentral.